Molecule: ribosomal RNA, 465 nt
Filed under: uncultured bacterium
Lineage: Bacteria
Description: partial 16S ribosomal RNA
Rfam family: Bacterial small subunit ribosomal RNA
Source: RNAcentral
GACGAACGCUGGCGGCGUGCUUAACACAUGCAAGUCGAACGGAAAGGCCCUGCUUGCAGGGUACUCGAGUGGCGAACGGGUGAGUAACACGUGGGUGAUCUGCCCUGCACUUCGGGAUAAGCCUGGGAAACUGGGUCUAAUACCGGAUAGGAGCCAUUUUUAGUGUGAUGGUUGGAAAGUUUUUUCGGUGUAGGAUGAGCUCGCGGCCUAUCAGCUUGUUGGUGGGGUAAUGGCCUACCAAGGCGGCGACGGGUAGCCGGCCUGAGAGGGUGGACGGCCACAUUGGGACUGAGAUACGGCCCAGACUCCUACGGGAGGCAGCAGUGGGGAAUAUUGCACAAUGCGCGCAAGCCUGAUGCAGCGACGCCGCGUGGGGGAUGACGGCCUUCGGGUUGUAAACUCCUUUCGCUAGGGACGAAGCUUUUUGUGACGGUACCUAGAUAAGAAGCACCGGCUAACUACGUG